GGCCCCGUCGUCUAGUGGUCAGGACAACAGGCUUUCAAUCUGUUAACAGGGGUUCGAUUCCCCUCGGGGCUGCCA
This 75-nucleotide transfer RNA is filed under the name Candidatus Curtissbacteria bacterium RBG_13_40_7. RNAcentral's name for it is "tRNA-Glu". It matches the Rfam family "tRNA". From Rfam's summary of the family: Transfer RNA (tRNA) molecules are approximately 80 nucleotides in length. The record is from RNAcentral. Lineage: Bacteria; Candidatus Curtissiibacteriota.